CGGGACUCUGCGGGUUUCUGUCCAUGGAGGAGAGGAACCGACUCAAAGAAGAGGAGACGGGCGCACGAUCCCAAGAUAGCGGAAGCGGUGCGCCGUCUUCACAACUCCGAGACGAAUUACAGGCGCUACGAACCGGAGCAAGGACUAAUCUCGCCUCAUAAUGAGGCGGUGACCUCGUAUUUGCUCCGGGAAAAGUCCAGAUUUAGACAACGUCAUUGUGUCCGCCUGUGAGACGUAUUUUGAGACGGGACGCAGGAGCUUCAGGUUCAGGCGGAACACUCAUUGCGGGCGGAAGCUGCGAACGAUUCAGCGCGGAGUCGAGCGAGAAGAAAGAGGCUGCUGGAAUCGAGACAAAGUGUGCUGGCUGAUGAAGAGGUGGAACGCUGGAAAUCCGCCACCGUGGAGCUCACGUCGGACGGAGGGGACUGCGUUGUUGGCGGGGUCUCGAGGUGGAUUGUACGGUCGCCACACACACACGAGGCGCCUGCACAACAGACCUGCCUCGGAAAACACGGCGCCAGUGACGUCUACAACCCCGAGGAGGCAAACUGACAGUUUACUGAGCUGUAGUUUUUAAACCGC
Long non-coding RNA from Gasterosteus aculeatus aculeatus (three-spined stickleback), 582 nucleotides. The record is from Ensembl. NCBI's taxonomy places the organism in Eukaryota, Metazoa, Chordata, Actinopteri, Perciformes, Gasterosteidae.